Molecule: ribosomal RNA, 447 nt
Filed under: uncultured bacterium
Lineage: Bacteria
Description: bacterial SSU rRNA
Rfam family: Bacterial small subunit ribosomal RNA
Source: RNAcentral
CCAGACUCCUACGGGAGGCAGCAGUGGGGGAUAUUGGACAAUGGGGGAAACCCUGAUCCAGCGACGCCGCGUGAGUGAAGAAGUAUUUCGGUAUGUAAAGCUCUGUCAGCAGGGAAGAAAGAAAUGACGGUACCUGACCAAGAAGCCCCGACUAACUACGUGCCAGCAGCCGCGGUAAUACGUAGGGGGCAAGCGUUAUCCGGAAUUACUGGGCGUAAAGGGCGCGUAGGUGGGCGCUUAAGUCAGGUGUGAAAACUCCGGGCUCAACCUGGAGACUGCACUUGAAACUGGGUGUCUUGAGGGCAGGAGAGGAAAGUGGAAUUCCUAGUGUAGCGGUGAAAUGCGUAGAUAUUAGGAGGAACACCAGUGGCGAAGGCGACUUUCUGGACUGUACCUGACGCUGAGGCGCGAAAGCGUGGGUAGCGAACGGGAUUAGAUACCCGGGUA